CCUACGAUCAGUCCACUGGCCCUAGACCUGCAAUGUUAGUGAAGCAACAAAGCACUAUAGAUAACCAAUUGCCUCUCACCGCCAUAGCUGUCAUCACAGCCUGUGUCUCUCAGGAUGAAAACAAAUCAAAAUCGGAAGCAAGAAGACACAAAUGAGAUGGGGACAGAUGACACUUUGGAACAAAGAGAAUGACAGAGGUGAAGAGAAGAAGUCUUCAGACAGAGUUCAAAGUUCAAACUUACAGAAUUUACUAAAAGUUUCAGUAUAUGCUUAGAAGAGAGUGUUGCAGCUGCUGGUGGCUGCUGGAGCCAGGAUUUCUUGAUUUGGGGGAGUGGGGGCAUCAUUCCUAUUUCAGCCUGCACUUUCUUCUCACCUUCUUUUCUUUGUGUACAUCCCCUGCUGUUCUCCCCUAAAGGCACAUUGAGUUUAGAGCCACUCCAAAUCCAAAUCGCACUUAAACGUGCUAUGCCAGUUAAUCUUCAUUGUCACCUUAACUGAACCAGGACUCCUGAAGAGGUGUCUAUCACAGGAGUCCUACACUCAUCAGAGGGUGAAUACACAGGAUGUCACAGCUGAUCUGCUGCUGUUAGGUGGUGGGGCCCAGGUGGAGGGAGUGGGACACUGGCCACACACUUGGGGGGCAUGUGUCUCCCUGUUGGGCUCUUCUGCUGUGCCCUGCUUUCUAGCUUUAUUCCCCCGCCCACAUCCUUCUGCCAUGAUGUCCCACCCUGGAGCCCCCUGACUAUGAACUGCAAGCUCUGAAAUCGUAACAGAAUAAAUAUCUCCUUCUGUAAA
Long non-coding RNA from Cavia porcellus (domestic guinea pig), 795 nucleotides. RefSeq lists it as uncharacterized. Lineage: Eukaryota; Metazoa; Chordata; Mammalia; Rodentia; Caviidae. The record is from RefSeq and is a predicted model, not a curated record. The transcript is spliced from 3 exons.